Molecule: ribosomal RNA, 292 nt
Filed under: uncultured bacterium
Lineage: Bacteria
Description: partial 16S ribosomal RNA
Rfam family: Bacterial small subunit ribosomal RNA
Source: RNAcentral
GUGUCAGCAGCCGCGGUAAUACGAGAGGCCCAAACGUUAUUCGGAAUUACUGGGCUUAAAGAGUUCGUAGGCGGCGCGGAAAGUAGGGUGUGAAAGCCCUCGGCUCAACCGAGGAAUUGCGCUCUAAACUACCGUGCUCGAGGGACCUAGAGGUGAGCGGAACUGAUGGUGGAGCGGUGAAAUGCGUUGAUAUCAUCAGGAACACCGGAGGCGAAGGCGGCUCACUGGGGGUCUUCUGACGCUGAGGAACGAAAGCCAGGGGAGCGAACGGGAUUAGAAACCCCCGUAGUCC